GGUUGGAUGGCCGAGCGGUCUAAGGCGCUGGUUUAAGACACCAGUCUCUUCGGGGGCGUGGGUUCGAAUCCCACUCCAGCCA
Transfer RNA from Lottia gigantea (owl limpet), 82 nucleotides. It matches the Rfam family "tRNA". From Rfam's summary of the family: Transfer RNA (tRNA) molecules are approximately 80 nucleotides in length. Their secondary structure includes four short double-helical elements and three loops (D, anti-codon, and T loops). The record is from Rfam. NCBI's taxonomy places the organism in Eukaryota, Metazoa, Mollusca, Gastropoda, Lottiidae.